Molecule: ribosomal RNA, 433 nt
Filed under: uncultured bacterium
Lineage: Bacteria
Description: partial 16S ribosomal RNA
Rfam family: Bacterial small subunit ribosomal RNA
Source: RNAcentral
AACGAACGCUGGCGGCAUGCCUAACACAUGCAAGUCGAACGAGACCUUCGGGUCUAGUGGCGCACGGGUGCGUAACGCGUGGGAACCUGCACUUAGGUUCGGAAUAACUCCCUGAAAGGGGUGCUAAUACCGGAUAAUGUCUUCGGACCCAAGAUUUAUCGCCUUUGGAUGGGCCCGCGUUGGAUUAGCUAGUUGGUAGGGUAAAAGCCUAUCAAGGCGACGAUACAUAGCUGGUCUGAGAGGCUGAUCAGCCACACUUGGACUGAGACACGGCCCAGACUCCUACGGGAGGCAGCAGUGGGGAAUAUUGGACAAUGGGCGAAGGCCUGAUCCAGCAAUGCCGCGUGAGUGAUGAAGGCCGUAGGGUUGUAAAGCUCUUUUACCCGGGAUGAUAAUGACAGUACCGGGAGAAUAAGCUCCGGCUAACUCCGUG